GAUGAACGCUGGCGGCGUGCCUAAUACAUGCAAGUCGAGCGAACGGACGAUAAGCUUGCUUCUCUGAUGUUAGCGGCUGACGGGUGAGUAACACGUUGAUAACCUACCUAUAAGACUGGGAUAACUUCGUGAAACCGGAGCUAAUACCGUAUAAUAUUUUGAACCGCAUUGUUCAAAAGUAAAUGACGGUCUUGCUGUCACUUAUAGAUGGAUCCGCGCUGCAUUAUCUAUUUGGUAAGGUAACGGCUUACCAAGGCAACGAUGCAUAGCCGACCUGAGAGGGUGAUCGGCCACACUGGAACUGAGACACGGUCAAGACUCCUACGGGAGGCAGCAGUAGGGAAUCUUCCGCAAUGGGCGAAAGCCUGACGGAGCAACGCCGCGUGGGUGAUGAAGGUCUUCGGAUCGUAAAACUCUGUUAUUAGGGAAGAACAUAUGUGUAAGUAACUGUGCACAUCUUGACGGUACCUAAUCAGAAAGCCACGGCUAACUACGUG
This 497-nucleotide ribosomal RNA is filed under the name uncultured bacterium. RNAcentral's name for it is "partial 16S ribosomal RNA". It matches the Rfam family "Bacterial small subunit ribosomal RNA", at positions 28 to 507 of the family's 1533-position model. The record is from RNAcentral.